UACGAAGGGCGCUAGCGUUGUUCGGAAUCACUGGGCGUAAAGCGCACGUAGGCGGCUGGGUCAGUCAGGGGUGAAAUCCCGGAGCUCAACUUCGGAACUGCCUUUGAUACAGCACGUCUUGAGUCCGGAAGAGGUGGGUGGAAUUCCUAGUGUAGAGGUGAAAUUCGUAGAUAUUAGGAAGAACACCGGUGGCGAAGGCGGCCCACUGGUCCGGUACUGACGCUGAGGUGCGAAAGCGUGGGGAGCAAACAGG
RNAcentral lists this ribosomal RNA (253 nucleotides) under uncultured bacterium. Its description in RNAcentral is "partial 16S ribosomal RNA". It matches the Rfam family "Bacterial small subunit ribosomal RNA", at positions 524 to 776 of the family's 1533-position model. The record is from RNAcentral.